This 253-nucleotide ribosomal RNA is filed under the name uncultured bacterium. RNAcentral's name for it is "partial 16S ribosomal RNA". It matches the Rfam family "Bacterial small subunit ribosomal RNA", at positions 524 to 776 of the family's 1533-position model. The record is from RNAcentral.
UACGUAGGGGGCGAGCGUUGUUCGGAAUUACUGGGCGUAAAGCGCACGUAGGCGGAUACUUAAGUCAGGGGUGAAAUCCCGGGGCUCAACCCCGGAACUGCCUUUGAUACUGGGUAUCUCGAGUCCGGAAGAGGUGAGUGGAAUUCCGAGUGUAGAGGUGAAAUUCGUAGAUAUUCGGAGGAACACCAGUGGCGAAGGCGGCUCACUGGUCCGGUACUGACGCUGAGGUGCGAAAGCGUGGGGAGCAAACAGG